CUCCCGCUCCCCUGGCACGCCUUCGGGGUCCUUGCGGGCGGCAAGCACCUCCGUCCCGGAGACAUCUGCCGCUGCAGCAUAGACCACCAUGUCCUCGCUCGGCAGCACCGAUGUUGAUGAUGGCAACGAGGAGGAGGACGGCUCCGCGAGCACCCCCGAGAUCUACCGCUGCCACUCCCACGCAGUUGCGUGUAGCCUCUCCAUGUGAUUUCCCCAAUGUUUCCCUUCCUCUGUAGCCUCUCCGACGGCGCCGCCGCCGUUCUUCCUCGGCCGUCGGCGACAUUUUAAGAACGCCUGAGGCUGUUCAACCACUUCAUCGUCUUUUUGACUGCCUCACAUUGAAGGAACUUUGCAGCGGACUGUUAUAUGAUCUAUGAAAGAAUGCAUGCAACAAGAUCUCCAGUCUGAUACUGAUGAAGAAACUACAAAAGAACACAUAGCCACCAUCAAUCAAGACAAAGGGAAAACUACCAUUACCUCAAUUGGAUUUCUGGUUUUUGGGCUAUCAUUGGAUUUCUGGUUAACUGAAAUAUGUACCUUGCAGUAGCUCUAUGUCUCUAUAUGGCAUUAUGGUGUCUAAAACUGGAUCAUUAUAUUUUCAUUUGAGUGAAAUUCUUAUCAAAUGUUGAACCUUCAGGCUCCAGCUUGAUCUGGUUCAUGUUUUUUCUAGAUUACCCCAGUUGAUGAAGCAAAGAAAUUAUACCUGUUAUUUGGCCUUGGGGCUAAUGUUGCCAUUAUCUUUUCUGGCCGUACAAUGAAGUAUUUCUCAAAUUUGCGCAAGACAUUGGGUCCUGGAAUGAUGAGCAUAGUGGUACUUCUUGAACUUGCAUCUAUUGGGGAGUGAGCAAGUUUGUUUUGAAUGAUCCUUCAUUGCCAAAGUCUUAUCGUAAGAAGAAAAAGGAACUUCAUAAUGAUUUCUGGUUAACUGAAACGCAUGGGCACACAUCCAUGAGUCCCCCACCGCUACAUGCCUCACGCCUCGUCACUGAGUCGUUCUUAGUCACGACAUGCUGAUGUCGAUCCACCCGUCAAGAACAAGGUGCAGCAGAGAUCUUUCUCCUCGUCGCUGCUUCCUCGCCAUCCGGAGAUGGUCGUCGCCGCCUAAUAUCACAGCGGUGGGAAGGCACAACGCUCCCCCAUCUCCUCCGGUUCUGCCUGCUCGCCAGCACGACGCGACGAUGCCCCCCUGACCCCCGCGCGCACAGCCUCCGCUGGAGAAGCGACAACGCUCUCGUCUCCGGUCUCCAUGAGUCAGCCUCCAAUCCAUUUCCAUGCCAGGUAUUUACCUAACGUACAUUGAACCUGCACACAACCCUGUCUGUGAGACCAGAAGGUAGAUUUCUUCAAGGGGAACAAUGUGGUGUAACUUCAUCAGCACAACCACUUUGCUGAAGGUGUCCGGAUCAUGAUGCAGACAACAACUGGUGUACUCAUUCCCACUUUGAUGGUAAUCGAAAUGGAGACAAACACAAUUGGAGGGAAAAUAUCCAAAGACAAAAGGAGUGAGUUUUCACUUCUUCAGAUUCCACCAAUCAGAAUAAGAACUAGACAUCAUAGAGACCAACUUUUGGUAAGAGCAACAAAAAACUGGACUACUAAAAUUUACUAGCGUGAUCUUCAACUGUCCUGUUACCAAUAUUUUUUGGGGUCUAUUAUGGAUAGCAAUAUGCAUUUGUUCUUUGUACAGAGAUUUUUCCUCGCAAUAUUAUGUUCGUUUGGUCA
Zea mays is the source of this 1722-nucleotide RNA transcript. It is a transcript of the gene named ADP,ATP carrier protein pseudogene, with no coding region annotated. NCBI's taxonomy places the organism in Eukaryota, Viridiplantae, Streptophyta, Magnoliopsida, Poales, Poaceae. The transcript has 7 exons. The record is from RefSeq and is marked validated.